Molecule: ribosomal RNA, 255 nt
Filed under: uncultured bacterium
Lineage: Bacteria
Description: partial 16S ribosomal RNA
Rfam family: Bacterial small subunit ribosomal RNA
Source: RNAcentral
CGGACGGGCGCGUAACGCGUAUGCAACCUGCCUGACACAGGGGGAUAAUCCGAAGAAAUUUGGUCUAAUACCCCAUAAUACCGAUAUAGGCAUCUAUGUUGGUUGAAAGCUUUGGUGGUGUCAGAUGGGCAUGCGUUGUAUUAGCUAGUUGGUGAGGUAACGGCUCACCAAGGCGACGAUACAUAGGGGGACUGAGAGGUUAACCCCCCACACUGGUACUGAGACACGGACCAGACUCCUACGGGAGGCAGCAUG